GACGAACGCUGGCGGCGUGCCUAACACAUGCAAGUCGAGCGGAGAUUGCAGCAAUGUAAUCUUAGCGGCAGACGGGUGAGUAACGCGUGGGCAACCUACCUUUAUCUGGGGGAUAACACAGGGAAACUUGUGCUAAUACCGCAUAACAUCAUGAAGAGACAUCUUUUUAUGAUCAAAGGAGUAAUCCGGAUAGAGAUGGGCCCGCGUCUGAUUAGCUAGUUGGUGGUGUAACGGACCACCAAGGCGACGAUCGGUAGCCGAACUGAGAGGUUGAUCGGCCACAUUGGGACUGAGACACGGCCCAGACUCCUACGGGAGGCAGCAGUGGGGAAUAUUGCGCAAUGGGGGAAACCCUGACGCAGCAACGCCGCGUGAAGGAUGAAGGUUUUCGGAUCGUAAACUUCUUUGAUGAGGGACGAAUAAAUGACGGUACCUCAAAAACAAGCCACGGCUAACUACGUGCCAGCAGCCGCCGUAA
This 478-nucleotide ribosomal RNA is filed under the name uncultured bacterium. Its description in RNAcentral is "partial 16S ribosomal RNA". It matches the Rfam family "Bacterial small subunit ribosomal RNA", at positions 28 to 523 of the family's 1533-position model. The record is from RNAcentral.